RNAcentral lists this unclassified non-coding RNA (685 nucleotides) under uncultured Prochlorococcus sp. Its description in RNAcentral is "partial may contain 16S ribosomal RNA, 16S-23S ribosomal RNA intergenic spacer, and 23S ribosomal RNA". The stretch from base 1 to 96 matches the Rfam family "Bacterial small subunit ribosomal RNA", at positions 1438 to 1533 of the family's 1533-position model. The record is from RNAcentral. Lineage: Bacteria; Bacillati; Cyanobacteriota; Cyanophyceae; Synechococcales; Prochlorococcaceae.
CCCUUGUGGAGGAGGACGCCGAAGGUGGGGCUAAUGACUGGGGUGAAGUCGUAACAAGGUAGCCGUACCGGAAGGUGCGGCUGGAUCACCUCCUAACAGGGAGACAACAAAAUGUUUAAUUUUAUAAUUUUGUCACCUUAGGUCGAUCGGUAUCUCACGUUCUUGAUUUAUUGAGAAUUUCAUUUCCUAAGUUUUUCUAGGUCACACCCAUUAUUUUUCCUGGGCCAUUAGCUCAGGUGGUUAGAGCGCACCCCUGAUAAGGGUGAGGUCCCUGGUUCAAGUCCAGGAUGGCCCAUAUCUCUAUGUUGGGGGUAUAGCUCAGUUGGUAGAGCGCCUGCUUUGCAAGCAGGAUGUCAGCGGUUCGAGUCCGCUUACCUCCACUGAUUACCACCUCUUUCAUAAUCAGUAAAAAGGAAUUUUUUUGAGUUGUGAUCACAUUCUGAACGAAUCUAGCUUCCUAAUGAAAUCAUUAAGAUGCUGGACUCAUUGAAUUAAUUUCAUUGUUUUCAGAGAACCUUGACAACUGCAUAGAUUAUUUUUAAAGACAUUAAGCAUCUUUAAUGAUGCAGAUUUAUUAUUUGUGCGAAUGCAUUAAUAACAAUUCUAUUAAGCUGAUGCUUCAAUUACGAAGUUAUUGGUCAAGCUACAAAGGGCUCACGGAGGAUACCUAGGCACACAGAGGCGA